This 496-nucleotide ribosomal RNA is filed under the name uncultured bacterium. RNAcentral describes it as "bacterial SSU rRNA". It matches the Rfam family "Bacterial small subunit ribosomal RNA", at positions 28 to 526 of the family's 1533-position model. The record is from RNAcentral.
GACGAACGCUGGCGGCGCGCCUAACACAUGCAAGUCGAACGGGGUCCUUUUGAGAAGCUUGCUUCUUGGCUGGACCUAGUGGCGGACGGGUGAGUAACACGUGAGUAACCUGCCCUGGAGUGGGGGACAACACCUGGAAACGGGUGCUAAUACCGCAUAAUAUCCCUGGAUGGCAUCAUUUGGGGAUCAAAGGAGUAAUCCGCUCUGGGAUGGACUCGCGCCCGAUUAGAUUGUUGGUGGGGUAACGGCCCACCAAGUCUGCGAUCGGUAGCCGGACUGAGAGGUUGAUCGGCCACAUUGGGACUGAGACACGGCCCAGACUCCUACGGGAGGCAGCAGUGGGGGAUAUUGCACAAUGGGGGAAACCCUGAUGCAGCGACGCCGCGUGAGUGAAGACGGCCUUCGGGUUGUAAAGCUCUGUUAUGGGGGACGAACACAAUGACGGUACCCCAUUAGAAAGCCACGGCUAACUACGUGCCAGCCGCCGCAGUAAAAC